Mesoplodon densirostris (Blainville's beaked whale) is the source of this 387-nucleotide long non-coding RNA. RefSeq lists it as uncharacterized. The transcript is spliced from 3 exons. Lineage: Eukaryota; Metazoa; Chordata; Mammalia; Artiodactyla; Ziphiidae. The record is from RefSeq and is a predicted model, not a curated record.
AGAGGCAGAGAGACAGCGCAGCCUGGGGAUGUGCAGGUGUGAAGGUGCGUGUGCGCAGGAGUGACGCUGUACACACCGAUACAAAGAGCAAACAGAGAAAGGAGUCCAGGAGAAGAAAAGAAAAGCCUCCCUGGGUAAUCGUGGUCAUAAAAUGCACAUCAAUCAUUAUAUUCAGACUGGAGCAUCAAGGUCUGCCUUCAAGGUCACACACACCAUGAGCAUGUCCAUUUUGGAAAUAGUGUGAUAUAUUUCCAAUUUCCCUGCUCUCCUUUUUACAGGAAAGACCAUCCUGUGGCUACAACUCUCAAGACUUUUGCUUCAGCGAAACCAAAAUGGAACUGGUGAGAUUUCUUCAUCCCACAGGGGACUCUUUGACCAAUUUGGGGG